Molecule: ribosomal RNA, 253 nt
Filed under: uncultured bacterium
Lineage: Bacteria
Description: partial 16S ribosomal RNA
Rfam family: Bacterial small subunit ribosomal RNA
Source: RNAcentral
GACAGAGGUGCCAAGCGUUAGGCGGAAUCACUGGGCUUAAAGCGUGUGUAGGCGGGUUCCUAAGUACCUUGUGAAAUCCCCCGGCUCAACCGGGGAACUGCUGGGUAUACUGGGUGCCUUGAGUACAGACGAGGUUGGCGGAAUGGACUGAGUAGCGGUGAAAUGCAUAGAUACAGUCCAGAACCCCGAUUGCGAAGGCAGCUGACUAGGCUGUUACUGACGCUGAGGCACGAAAGCGUGGGGAGCGAACAGG